AUUCUACUCCCUCCGUUGCACAAUACAUGCCUUCUAUUUGUCAAAAUAUAUAUGUAUCUAGACAUGUUUUAGUAUAUAGGUACAUCCAUUUUUGGACAAAUGGAAGUCAAGUAUUUUGGAACGGAGGGAGUACACA
Non-coding RNA from Triticum aestivum (bread wheat), 136 nucleotides. Lineage: Eukaryota; Viridiplantae; Streptophyta; Magnoliopsida; Poales; Poaceae. The record is from Rfam.